UAAGGAAUAUUGGUCAAUGGACGCAAGUCUGAACCAGCCAUGCCGCGUGGAGGAUGAAGGUCCUCUGGAUUGUAAACUUCUUUUAUCUGGGACGAAACACUUCUUUUCUAAGAGGCCUGACGGUACCAGAUGAAUAAGCACCGGCUAACUCCGUGCCAGCAGCCGCGGUAAUACGGAGGGUGCAAGCGUUAUCCGGAUUCACUGGGUUUAAAGGGUGCGUAGGUGGGUAUGUAAGUCAGUGGUGAAAUCCCCGAGCUUAACUUGGGAACUGCCAUUGAUACUAUAUAUCUUGAAUACCGUAGAGGUCAGCGGAAUAUGCCAUGUGGCGGUGAAAUGCUUAGAUAUGACAUGGAACACCAAUUGCGAAGGCAGCUUACUAUGCGGUGAUUGACACUGAGGCACGAAAGCGUGGGUAGCAAACA
RNAcentral lists this ribosomal RNA (422 nucleotides) under uncultured bacterium. RNAcentral's name for it is "bacterial SSU rRNA". It matches the Rfam family "Bacterial small subunit ribosomal RNA", at positions 355 to 774 of the family's 1533-position model. The record is from RNAcentral.